CCAGACUCCUACGGGAGGCAGCAGUGGGGGAUAUUGCACAAUGGGGGGAACCCUGAUGCAGCGACGCCGCGUGGGUGAGGAAGUACCCCGGUAUGUAAAGCCCUUUCGGCAGGGAAGAAAAUGACGGUACCUGAGUAAGAAGCCCCGGCUAACUACGUGCCAGCAGCCGCGGUAAUACGUAGGGGGCAAGCGUUAUCCGGAUUUACUGGGUGUAAAGGGAGCGUAGACGGCGAUGCAAGUCUGAAGUGAAAGCCCGGGGCUCAACCCCGGGACUGCUUUGGAAACUGUAAAGCUGGAGUGCGGGAGGGGCAGGCGGAAUUCCUGGUGUAGCGGUGAAAUGCGUAGAUAUCAGGAGGAACACCGGCGGCGAAGGCGGCCUGCUGGACCGUAACUGACGUUGAGGCUCGAAAGCGUGGGGAGCAAACAGGAUUAGAUACCCCUGUAA
Molecule: ribosomal RNA, 445 nt
Filed under: uncultured bacterium
Lineage: Bacteria
Description: bacterial SSU rRNA
Rfam family: Bacterial small subunit ribosomal RNA
Source: RNAcentral